AGCAGCCGCGGUAAUUCCAGCUCCAAUAGCGUAUAUUAAAGUUGUUGCAGUUAAAAAGCUCGUAGUUGAAUUUCGGGAUCAAAUUGUCGGUCGUGCCUCGGUACGCACUGGCGUUAUUGGUUCCUCCCUUCUGAAGAACCGCGAUGUCAUUAAUUUGGUGUCGCGGGGAAUCAGGACUGUUACUUUGAAAAAAUUAGAGUGUUUAAAGCAGGCUCGCGCUUGAAUACAUUAGCAUGGAAUAAUGAAAUAGGGCGUUUGAUUCUAUUUUGUUGGUUUCUAGGAUCGACGUAAUGAUUAAUAGGGAUAGUUGGGGGCAUUAGUAUUCAAUUGUCAGAGGUGAAAUUCUUGGAUUUAUUGAAGACUAACUACUGCGAAAGCAUUUGCCAAGGAUGUUUUCAUUAAUCAAGAACGAAAGUUAGGGGAUCGAAGACGAUCAGAUACCGUCGUAGUCUUAACCAUAAACUAUGCCGACUAGGGAUCGGAUGAUGUUAAUUUUUUAAUGACUCA
Molecule: ribosomal RNA, 507 nt
Filed under: uncultured fungus
Lineage: Eukaryota; Fungi
Description: SSU rRNA
Rfam family: Eukaryotic small subunit ribosomal RNA
Source: RNAcentral